UACGAAGGAGGCAAGCGUUGUUCGGAAUCACUGGGCUUAAAGCGCAUGUAGGCGGGAAGCAGGGUACCUUGUGAAAUCCCUCGGCUCAACUGAGGAAUAGCUUGGUAAACCGGUUUUCUUGAGGCAGGUAGAGGCGGGCGGAACCAUGGGUGGAGCGGUGAAAUGCGUAGAGAUCCAUGGGAACACCGGGGGCGAAAGCGGCCCGCUGGGCCUGAUCUGACGCUGAGAUGCGAAAGCGUGGGUAGCAAACAGG
Molecule: ribosomal RNA, 253 nt
Filed under: uncultured bacterium
Lineage: Bacteria
Description: partial 16S ribosomal RNA
Rfam family: Bacterial small subunit ribosomal RNA
Source: RNAcentral